CAGUCGCCACGGUAAUACGGAGGGGGCUAGCGUUGUUCGGAAUUACUGGGCGUAAAGCGCACGUAGGCGGCUUUGUAAGUUAGAGGUGAAAGCCCGGAGCUCAACUCCGGAAUUGCCUUUAAGACUGCAGAGCUAGCAGGUGAGAGAGGUGAGUGGAAUUCCGAGUGUAGAGGUGAAAUUCGUAGAUAUUCGGAAGAACACCAGUGGCGAAGGCGGCUCACUGGCUCAUUCUAGACGCUGAGGUGCGAAAGCGUGGGGAGCAAACAGGAUUAGAUACCCCGGUAGUCCCUGUCUCUUAUAC
RNAcentral lists this ribosomal RNA (301 nucleotides) under uncultured bacterium. RNAcentral's name for it is "partial 16S ribosomal RNA". It matches the Rfam family "Bacterial small subunit ribosomal RNA", at positions 509 to 807 of the family's 1533-position model. The record is from RNAcentral.